GGCAACGUGCCAGAGUGGUUAAUGGGUAGCACUCGAAAUGCUAUGACUUCGGUCGCGCAUGUUCGAAUCAUGCCGUUGUCG
Clonostachys solani is the source of this 81-nucleotide non-coding RNA. NCBI's taxonomy places the organism in Eukaryota, Fungi, Ascomycota, Sordariomycetes, Hypocreales, Bionectriaceae. The record is from the annotation of a GenBank genome assembly.